GAUGAACGCUGGCGGCGUGCUUAACACAUGCAAGUCGAACGAAGCACUUAAGAUUGCUUCUUCGGAUGACGUCUUUUGUGACUUAGUGGCGGACGGGUGAGUAACGCGUGGGUAACCUGCCUCACACAGGGGGAUAACAGUUAGAAAUGACUGCUAAUACCGCAUAACCCGAUAGGAUCGCAUGAUCCAGACGGAAAAGAUUUAUCGGUGUGAGAUGGACCCGCGUCUGAUUAGCUAGUUGGUGAGGUAACGGCCCACCAAGGCGACGAUCAGUAGCCGGGCUGAGAGGGUGAACGGCCACAUUGGGACUGAGACACGGCCCAAACUCCUACGGGAGGCAGCAGUGGGGAAUAUUGCACAAUGGGGGAAACCCUGAUGCAGCGACGCCGCGUGAGUGAAGAAGUAUUUCGGUAUGUAAAGCUCUAUCAGCAGGGAAGAAAAUGACGGUACCUGACUAAGAAGCCCCGGCUAACUACGUG
RNAcentral lists this ribosomal RNA (479 nucleotides) under uncultured bacterium. RNAcentral describes it as "partial 16S ribosomal RNA". It matches the Rfam family "Bacterial small subunit ribosomal RNA", at positions 28 to 507 of the family's 1533-position model. The record is from RNAcentral.